This 492-nucleotide ribosomal RNA is filed under the name uncultured bacterium. Its description in RNAcentral is "partial 16S ribosomal RNA". It matches the Rfam family "Bacterial small subunit ribosomal RNA", at positions 29 to 507 of the family's 1533-position model. The record is from RNAcentral.
AGUGAACGCUGGCGGUAGGCCUAACACAUGCAAGUCGAACGGCAGCACAGUAAGAGCUUGCUCUUACGGGUGGCGAGUGGCGGACGGGUGAGGAAUACAUCGGAAUCUACUUUUUCGUGGGGGAUAACGUAGGGAAACUUACGCUAAUACCGCAUACGACCUACGGGUGAAAGCAGGGGAUCUUCGGACCUUGCGCGAUUGAAUGAGCCGAUGUGGGAUUAGCUAGUUGGGGGGGUAAAGGCCCACCAAGGCGACGAUCCGUAGCUGGUCUGAGAGGAUGAUCAGCCACACUGGAACUGAGACACGGUCCAGACUCCUAAGGGAGGCAGCAGUGGGGAAUAUUGGACAAUGGGCGCAAGCCUGAUCCAGCCAUACCGCGUGGGUGAAGAAGGCCUUCGGGUUGUGAUGCCCUUUUGUUGGGAAAGAAAAGCAGCAGGUUAAUACCCCGCUGUUCUGACGGUACCCAAAGAAUAAGCACCGGCUAACUUCGUG